CAGUCGCCGCGGUAAUACGGAGGGGGCUAGCGUUGUUCGGAAUUACUGGGCGUAAAGCGUACGUAGGCGGCUUUGUAAGUUAGAGGUGAAAGCCUGGCGCUCAACACCAGAACUGCCUUUAAGACUGCAUCGCUUGAACGUCGGAGAGGUGAGUGGAAUUCCGAGUGUAGAGGUGAAAUUCGUAGAUAUUCGGAAGAACACCAGUGGCGAAGGCGGCUCACUGGACGACUGUUGACGCUGAGGUACGAAAGCGUGGGGAGCAAACAGGAUUAGAUACCCCAGUAGUCCCUGUCUCUUAUAC
This 301-nucleotide ribosomal RNA is filed under the name uncultured bacterium. RNAcentral describes it as "partial 16S ribosomal RNA". It matches the Rfam family "Bacterial small subunit ribosomal RNA", at positions 509 to 807 of the family's 1533-position model. The record is from RNAcentral.